AAGACCCAAGUGAACUCUUUGG
This 22-nucleotide microRNA is filed under the name Bos taurus (domestic cattle). RNAcentral's name for it is "bta-miR-2285s". Lineage: Eukaryota; Metazoa; Chordata; Mammalia; Artiodactyla; Bovidae. The record is from miRBase by way of RNAcentral.